Molecule: non-coding RNA, 71 nt
Organism: Osmerus eperlanus (European smelt)
Lineage: Eukaryota; Metazoa; Chordata; Actinopteri; Osmeriformes; Osmeridae
Source: the annotation of a RefSeq genome assembly
GCACCAGUAGUGUAGUGGUGUCAUACAAGAUUCCCAUUCUUGUGAUCUGGGUUCGAUUCCCGGCUGGUGCA